Molecule: ribosomal RNA, 253 nt
Filed under: uncultured bacterium
Lineage: Bacteria
Description: partial 16S ribosomal RNA
Rfam family: Bacterial small subunit ribosomal RNA
Source: RNAcentral
UACGUAGGGUGCAAGCGUUGUCCGGAAUUAUUGGGCGUAAAGAGCGUGUAGGCGGUUUGGUAGGUCCGCUGUGAAAACUCGAGGCUCAACCUCGAGACGCCGGUGGAAACCAUCAGACUAGAGUCCGGAAGAGGAGAGUGGAAUUCCUGGUGUAGCGGUGAAAUGCGCAGAUAUCAGGAAGAACACCCGUGGCUAAGGCGGCUCUCUAGUACGGUACUGACGCUGAGACGCGAAAGCGUGGGGAGCGAACAGG